RNAcentral lists this ribosomal RNA (253 nucleotides) under uncultured bacterium. RNAcentral describes it as "partial 16S ribosomal RNA". It matches the Rfam family "Bacterial small subunit ribosomal RNA", at positions 524 to 776 of the family's 1533-position model. The record is from RNAcentral.
UACGAAGGGGGCUAGCGUUGUUCGGAAUUACUGGGCGUAAAGCGUGCGCAGGCGGCUUCUCAAGUCAGGGGUGAAAGCCCAGAGCUUAACUCUGGAAUUGCCUUUGAGACUGAGAGGCUUGAGUACGGGAGAGGUGAGUGGAAUUCCUAGUGUAGAGGUGAAAUUCGUAGAUAUUGGGAAGAACACCGGUGGCGAAGGCGGCUCACUGGCCCGUAACUGACGCUCAUGCACGACAGCGUGGGGAUCAAACAGG